Thalassophryne amazonica is the source of this 99-nucleotide long non-coding RNA. RefSeq lists it as uncharacterized. The transcript is spliced from 3 exons. The record is from RefSeq and is a predicted model, not a curated record. NCBI's taxonomy places the organism in Eukaryota, Metazoa, Chordata, Actinopteri, Batrachoidiformes, Batrachoididae.
UUCCAAGGUUUUUACAUACAGUCACUAGCGCCACAGGCAGGGCAUUGUGAGACAAGUGCAGCGCCCUGGAGUGCAGGGCCAGCGUGCAUCCAUCACUUC